Molecule: ribosomal RNA, 254 nt
Filed under: uncultured bacterium
Lineage: Bacteria
Description: partial 16S ribosomal RNA
Rfam family: Bacterial small subunit ribosomal RNA
Source: RNAcentral
UACGGGGGGAGCAAGCGUUGUUCGGAUUUACUGGGCGUAAAGGGCGCGUAGGCGGCCAGCACAAGUCAGUUGUGAAAUCUCCGAGCUUAACUCGGAAAGGUCAACUGAUACUGUGCGGCUAGAGUGCGGAAGGGGCAACUGGAAUUCUUGGUGUAGCGGUGAAAUGCGUGGAUAUGCGGAGGAACACCGAUGGCGAAGGCAAUCCCCUGGGCCUGCACUGACGCUCAUGCACGAAAGCGUGGGGAGCAAACAGG